Molecule: ribosomal RNA, 253 nt
Filed under: Segatella copri DSM 18205
Lineage: Bacteria; Pseudomonadati; Bacteroidota; Bacteroidia; Bacteroidales; Prevotellaceae
Description: Prevotella copri DSM 18205 partial 16S ribosomal RNA
Rfam family: Bacterial small subunit ribosomal RNA
Source: RNAcentral
UACGGAAGGUUCGGGCGUUAUCCGGAUUUAUUGGGUUUAAAGGGAGCGUAGGCCGGAGAUUAAGCGUGUUGUGAAAUGUAGACGCUCAACGUCUGCACUGCAGCGCGAACUGUUUUCCUUGAGUACGCACAAAGUGGGCGGAAUUCGUGGUGUAGCGGUGAAAUGCUUAGAUAUCACGAAGAACUCCGAUUGCGAAGGCAGCUCACUGGAGCGCAACUGACGCUGAAGCUCGAAAGUGCGGGUAUCGAACAGG